This 542-nucleotide ribosomal RNA is filed under the name uncultured archaeon. Its description in RNAcentral is "bacterial SSU rRNA". It matches the Rfam family "Archaeal small subunit ribosomal RNA", at positions 457 to 997 of the family's 1478-position model. The record is from RNAcentral.
GUCAGCAGCCGCGGUAACACCGGCGGCCCGAGUGGUGAUCGUGAUUAUUGGGUCUAAAGGGUCCGUAGCCGGUUUGGUCAGUCCUCCGGGAAAUCUGAUAGCUCAACUAUUAGGCUUUCGGGGGAUACUGCCAGACUUGGAACCGGGAGAGGUAAGAGGUACUACAGGGGUAGGAGUGAAAUCUUGUAAUCCCUGUGGGACCACCUGUGGCGAAGGCGUCUUACCAGAACGGGUUCGACGGUGAGGGACGAAAGCUGGGGGCACGAACCGGAUUAGAUACCCGGGUAGUCCCAGCCGUAAACGAUGCUCGCUAGGUGUCAGGCAUGGCGCGACCGUGUCUGGUGCCGCAGGGAAGCCGUGAAGCGAGCCACCUGGGAAGUACGGCCGCAAGGCUGAAACUUAAAGGAAUUGGCGGGGGAGCACAACAACGGGUGGAGCCCUGCGGUUUAAUUGGACUCAACGCCGGACAACUCACCGGGGGCGACAGCAAUAUGUAGGCCAAGCUGAAGACUUUGCCUGAAUCGCUGAGAAGAGGUGCAUGG